Molecule: ribosomal RNA, 25 nt
Filed under: Tulipa sylvestris
Lineage: Eukaryota; Viridiplantae; Streptophyta; Magnoliopsida; Liliales; Liliaceae
Also listed under: 6 other names
Description: partial 26S ribosomal RNA
Source: RNAcentral
GCGACCCCAGGUCAGGCGGGACACC